CCUCCGGUCGUUUCCUUCCGAAAAAACAUGGUGCCGCUGCCCGUCUCCGGCCCUCAUCCGCGCCUCCGCUCCGUCCCGGCGCGCUGGCACUCCCCAUCCUUGGCUGCCGUCCGCGCCACCGCUGCUCCGUCUCCGGUCGGCGCGCGCUGCUCCGUCCCCGGCCGCCACGCCGUCCGCGCGCCGCUGCGCCGUCCCUGGCCGCCACGCCGUCCGCAGGCUGCCGGCGGCUCCGAUCUGUAAGUCCCCUCCCCCGACCUCGACGCACCACCGCUCGCCGCCGGCCGCCACCACAGGUGAGCUCCUUGAGAUCCAUGGAAGCAUCAUGUGUCUGCCAUUCUCAUGUGUCUGCCGGUCAAUGCAUCCUACUCCACUACGCGCCCGGCCGUCGCACGUUCGCCUCGGCUUCCUCCCCUACCCAUCCACGCACCCGGCUGAGCCACGGGGUCUUCCGGCUCCCAGCGCCGCCUCUACCCGCCCACGCGCCCCUGCCUCACGACCUCCUCUCCUCCACACUCCAGCCCCACGCCGACCACGGUUCCUUUCUGGAACCCGGCACCAACGGCCCACCCCUGCGCCGCCUCUCCCCGCUCCCGCUCGCGCGUUUCCCCCAGGCACGGACCGUGGGGCAGCGGGUCUCCAGAUCCGGGCCGCAGCCCUCCCUCGUCGCCUGACGUGCUGCCGGUCCGCACCGCCGUCGCCACACUCGGCCUCUCUGCCGCUCCCCGAUGCCCUGCCUUCGCCGUCCGCCGUCCGCGGGCGGCUCUCUCGCCGGCCGCUCACACCACUCGCGAGCACGAGAACCUCUGGGAUCCUCGACCCUCGCGGGCUCCCCGCUCCGCUGAAGAAAUCGAAGGCGAGUAGGAGCAAGAAGAAGCUCAAAACCAACGUCGCCACUUCUGGAACCAUCGGCGGCCUAUGAUGACGCUGACGGCUUCCUGCCGGCUCAUGCUGCACGCAGCGGCGAUGGGAUGUGUUGUUUGACAGUUUGAGCUCCCCUCCCACCCAAACCACAGCGACUGGUUCCUUUUCCCUUCCGCGCUCGUCGAGCAUGCCCACCGCAACGGGGUAAGUGAAUUUCUCCUCUGGCCUUUAAUCCGUUUGCCCGCUAGAUGUUCAAGGAAAUGCUCGGUGUUGUUAAUAGGGUUCACAGAUUGCUACAAGGAUGGGAAGGUAUCUCUUUCACCACGUGGGAUGGCUACAAGGAUUACCCUACAGUGCCAGAUGACUCUAAUAGGGUUCAGGAUUAAUAGGGUUCACAGAUUUCAGAACCUGACAUAAGACACAAAACUGGUUGGUCCUUAUUAAUGGUUUUUGAAACUGUGGAAAAUGCAUGUUUUCCCUUGUUGCUUAAACUUGUAAAAUACAGGGAAGAAAAAUACGAUAAUGGAGCAACAAAACAACUUGAAACAGCAUGCUUCCCUUUGUCCUUUGAUGUUGAAUUACAAAAAAGGUUUAUGUCACUCACCUGCAAUAGCUGAAAAGAUGAGUUAAGGAUAAUGAGUUGAUGGCUACUGGAUGAUACUGCCAGUCUCUAUCACAUUGCUUAAACAUUCGUGUUUUUUCUCCGCAUUCCUUCAUUUUCGUUUUGCUCUAUAAAUAUCUGACUCUGCUCUGUUGCUACAGAAUCAUUCGUUAUAUCAUUCAGAAUUAUUUAUUGCAAGUAAACAUAAAUAAGAUGUUUUGAGCAUUCAUAUGAUAUGAUUCUGUAAUUGUUUUCAUAAUGGAGUCCAGCUUUUAAAGUUUUAGUAUUUUAGGGGCUGGAUCACUGAACAAUAAGGAACCAAUUUUUCCAUACCAUUCUUUCUACUUGUCAUUCAGAAUACUUGCAUCUAUGGUUUACAUGCUGAACUUCUGUGGAAUAGCUAGCUAAUGAUAUAAUUUUUGAAGAGUAGUUCUUUAUGAUUGUAUUUAGGAGUUAACACUCAGUUAUAAAUUCUUAUUACUUUCUGCAGGUUUUCUGUUUGGUUGCAAUGGAAAAGCCUGUGUCCCUUAAGCCUGAGCACAUCAGAAAUGAGAAAAGUCAAAGGUUCUGCAAUCCGUGAACCCUAUUAAUCCUGAAGAGGUGUUAGUCUACAAGGAUCACUGUAAGGUGAAAGUUCUCGCCCUUGGGCCGAUUGGAAGACGGCCGCCCGUUUCGGCCUCCCUUGGAUCAGCGUGCUUACAUGGAAAAUGGUCCGGAGAUCACAUCUCCCAACGUGGAGCGCCGUCCCUCCGCCAGAUUGCCUCAACCAGCCUAGGUAUGUUGCACACCAGCUGCUCGAUCGAUGUCAAAUCCAAUGUUGGAUCAUCACUAGACUUCAUGUUUACAGUAAUGGUGUUGCCUGCUUUCUUUGUCUUCAGUCCAUGUCUCCAUCCGUUCCUUUUCUCUCUACAAUGCCCGAUUUUUCUCUCUACAAUGCCUAAAUAUGCACAUGCCAAAGAGCAUCUCCAGUAAAUACCCUAUCUGAGUCCCUACUUUUAAAAUAGGGGCUGGAGGGUAAAAAACUUACUCCAACAGAGCCCCUACUUGAGUCCCUAGAGUAGGGAGGCACCCAAAUUACCCCUAAAAACCCCAACUCCCACGGGUCCCUAGGGAGGCCCCUACUCCCUGUCCUCCCCUUCUCCGCUCACCCGCUCGCGUCUCCUUCCAUGUUGCGCUGCACCGUCGCCACCGCUCGACCGCGCCGCACCGUCGCUGGCGCGACCUCACCUUGCCGCACCACCGCUGGCCUGAACGCGCUGCGCCGUUGCCGAUGCGACCUCGCCUCGCCGCGCCACGCUAGCGCCAGCCUGACCGCGCAGCGCCGCCAGCUCGCCUCCCGGCACUCCGCCACGACACCACACGCGCCAGCACUCGCCCGACCGCCCGCACGCGGAGCAACUUGCUCCUUCGCUUCGCUGACGGGCCCCUACUCCUGCGCGCCGCCGCACUGGCCGCCGCCCGUGCUUCUUCUCCAUGCCGUGGCAGUGGGAUGGGGCCGAGGAGGAUGUGGUCGGAUUGCGGCCGACGCAGGUGGAGCCGGAGUCGGAGCUCUUCCCGGCUCCCUUGCCCAGAGAUGCGCCUCCCCCGUCGGACAGGGAGGGAGCUCUGCCGCCACUCCCGUGUGUGGAGCUCUGCCGGCGCCGCGCGGCUCCCUGCCCCCACCGGGAGCUCCGACGCUGCCUCUCCAGCUUCCUCUCCAAGGAGUUCAUCGAAUUUGGUGGAGCUCUAGGCCAAGAACAAGAAGAGAGCAGUGCGGGAGAUCUCGUGCAGGAAAAAGGAGAGAGAGAGCCAAAUUUUGUAUGAUUAAAAGAAAAGAGCCGCAGGCUCGUGUCGUAGCGCCUCCCCUGCUUGUCCGUGCCGCCGCCGCCGGCUCCUUGCAGUUCGAGCUCAGGUCGCAAGCUCGCCGAGGGACUCGGCCGCAAGCUCGCCCCUUUCCUCUUGAUCUUCCGAGACGGAUGCAGAGCCAGGGUGGGGGACUGCUGUGAGAGCUCGAGCGCCACAGGCUGCAGAUGCGGACCAGCACCCCGCGCUGCACCACCCCAGCCUGCAGCUGCGGUGGAGAGAGGAGAGGAAGGAGGAAGGAGGAAGGUGCUGCGAAGGAGUGGGGAAGGAGAGAGAAGAGGAGGAAAUAAUGAAAAAAAUGUAAGUGAGACUGGGACCCCAUGUGCCAAAUAGAAGUAGGGGCUGGAUAGUAGGGGUUGUUGCUGGAGUCGAUGGUAAUUGUCACAGCUCCAAAAAGUUGGGACAGUCUCUACUCAAGAAAGUAGGGACCUUGAGUAGGGGCUGUUGCUGGAGAUGCUCUAAUGGCCAAUACUGUUUGUAUACUAUAAAAGUAGCCGACUGAUUUACAACAUUAGGAGUCUGAACCAAAAAUAAUGCGGUGAAUAAUUUUAUAUAGGCUAUUUUGUUACAUUCAUGGUGAUCUCAGGCUGAACCAGCACCCGGGCACCAACGCCCGCCGCCGCCGCCGCCACCGUCUCCCUCAUCUCCCUCAGCACCCGCGGCCCCAACUCCCACCGCUAGAAGGGGAGGGGAGGGCCAAGAUCCAUGGCGCCACCGGAUCUGCGCCAUCCACGGUGAGGCCACCUCCCUACCCCCUUCCCCUCGACGGAAGCCACCCUGGCGCCACCGCACACCAGCACGCCACCCGCCACUCCGAUGCCGGCGUCCAACAGCAAGGCGCCGCCCUCCCCGGCGCUGGUGUCCACACCCCCCCCCCCCCGCUUCCUGCUCCCCGCCUCUCGCACUCUCCCCGGAGGCGGCCCCCUUCUACCCGGUCACCGGGCAUCCAAAGGAGCGGUGCUGGAAGGACAUCUCCCUCGGGACAGCGCCCGCCGCGACGCACGGCCCUUGGGGUGCCGGCUUGGGAUGGUGUUGCGACCGGCGUAGCCAUGCGGGGCCGCGGCUCGCGACCGGCGCGGCGGCCACGGUUGCUCCCCGAGAACGUGCCCCAGGUCAUGCCCCCCAACCGCGUCCCCAUCACAAUCAUCGACACAUUGCCGAGAAGGCGGCGUAGCGCCAGCAGCACCAGCAGCCGGCGGCGUCCGAGGGCGAGGAGGCCGACCCCUUCGUGGCGAACUACGGCGAUGUCCCCGACGAGAAGGUCCAGUCCAAGGCCGUCUCGGGCCACUCGUGGACCAAUGUCGGCGACCUCAGCACCGCCGCCAUCGGUCGCUCCAUGCUGCUCCGCGGGUCUGCCAGCUCGGUCGCCUCCCACGGCAGCAGGCUGGCCUUCCUCGUGCUGCGCCAGGGCAUGGACACCGUGCAGUGCGUAUUCCACGCCGGCGGAGACAGCCCUGGCAUCAGCCCGGGGAUGGUGCUCUUCACCGCCGCCCUCGCCGCGGAGUCUGUCAUCGAUGUCGAGGGCAUCGUCGCCGUGCCCCGCACCCCGGUGCUCUGGGCCACCGCCCGGCACGUCGAGGUCCGCGUCAGGAAGAUCCGCUGGGUCGCCAGGCGGGUUAGCCCGGGCCUCCCGUUCAGCCUCAACGACGCGGCGGCGGAGGAGGAGGAGGAGGAGGAGGAGCUCGAGGGCUAGGGAGCCGGAAGACCCCGCGUUAGCCAGGACACUCUUUCAACCACAGGGUGCUCGACCUGCGAACGCCCGCGAGCCAGGCGAUAAUCCGGAUUGAGGGCCAAGUUGAGAACGUGAGUGAACUUUAAUUUGAUGAUAGUUUUUCUGCAGAUUCUGAUCUGAUCUGCGAUAACUUGAUGAAAUGCUUAUGCAUCUUUCAUCAAUCAUCAUUCACCACGUAUGCUCUGAUCUGUAGUUCAUCGAGCACUUUGCACUUGAACUGUAAAAGAGAGCCUGCCAGUUUGCAGCUUAUAUAUAAGUUAUAAGAACCAUUGUCUUGGAUGUAUACACAUGAUCUUACUGUCAGGCAUUGAGAUUUUUUCUUGUUUUUUUAUUUCUUCACCAUUCAGUGUUACUUCUGUUUUGGUUGUAGAUUGUUUUCUCUUUCCUUUACUGCAUUUAUUUGCCACUUAAUUACAAAGCCUAAAGUAGAAGAUACACUGUAAGGCAUCCUAAAUAUGCACAUUUAAUUUCUUCUAUGGAGCAGACAAUGAUGUUCUUUGACUUCAAUGAGAUUUUCAUAUUUAAUGUGGAAAAUAUGAAAAGAGAAAAAAAACUGUAUUGUAUCACAUGAUAGUUUUUAUUUGCGACUUGGGAGCCAAGCAUUUGUCUCAGUAAUUCUUUUUUGUCAUUACAAUAGUAUGGAAAAUCUGUUUUUUUUGCCAUAAAUUCAUUAUCUUAUUGGCUCAAUAUAAGAUGUAUGAUAUUUUUCCUUUACUGCAAUCAUUCUAUCUCAUACCAUUGUAGCACAAUCAGGUACUCAGGUUCCAUGUUCACUUCUCAAGGAUCAGGUUCCCUGUACGCUUUUUCAGGUUCAAUUGCUUCAUUGCUUGUGAAAUGCAAUACUUGAUGGGAUAUUGGGAUGGGGUAAUUAAUGUUGUGAAGUAGGUAUUCAUAUGGAAGAGCUGCGUAAAGGCAUGGAAGCAAAUGCUAUUUAGUCAUUCCAUGCAACUCCUAGCUUUAUGGUUUUGAGCAUGUGCAAUGUUGAUGAUAGUGAGUUUAGAAUUUUUUUUUUACUUUUGAUGACUAGCAGGAAUUUAAUUAACCUAAAAUCUUGAAUUAGUCCUUUCCUGAACGCAUUGAGAUCUAUUAGUGGUGACAUAAAACGCUAAGUUUCUACUCCAUUUAUCUAUGUGUACCACUUCCUUUUGGACCUUUGGUUCUACAAAUGGACAUAAUGUCAUUGCAAUGUAUAAUAACUUCAUUUGUCUGUGAAUUCUCUUUGUGCUUAUGUUGCUUUCCUGACAAGCAAUGUUGUUUCAAAUUGUUCUGUGGUCAUUUAACACGCAAAGCUAGGAAACAUAUUUCAUUUGUUUAUGUGAUGUACUUACAAAGCUGCAGAGUAUUGCUUAAUUUGAUUACCUGACAUUCAAUUAGUUGCAAAUCUUCUAUCUAAUAAAGUUCUUAUUAUAUUUAGAAAAAAAUUCUUGUCUCCAUUUUGCUAUCAUGCAUGUUGGAAUUAUGCAGCACUGCUCAGUAUACCUCCCUCUCUGCUGCUACCUCUGCGUACGCCGCCGCCGUGCUGCUUUGGGUUCUUCUCCCGCCCCCACCACCAGUACUCUUUCUCCCUUCUAUCCCCUGUUUUCUUUUCGAGUUUUCUUUUGCUCUUUUCCCUUUUUUUGAUUCGUGGCGCCCAGCCAUGGAGCAGGAGAAUGAAGGAGGAAGACUGUCACGUAUUACAUCAGAGAGGCAUACCAGAUGUAAUUACAGUAUGGUUUUCUCCCAUGUCUCCAAGUUGGCAGUGAUCAGAGGCCGAUCUAUCUCACUAUGGAGGUUUGCAAGAUAGUUCCUGGACAGCAGUACAGGAAGAAGCUGGAAAGCCAACAGGUGUCUAAGCUAAUGGACUCAACAUGCCAGCAUCCAUCUGCCUGUGAGGCAAACAUUUGUCAGGGGAGCAGUCUCGGCGGCCGCACUGGUAGUGAGGGGCAGCACUGGGUUAGCUCGGGAUAGUGUGCACCCGUGGAGGGGCGAAUCGAGGGCGGAGGGGGCCGGUAGCCCUGCGGCCACGAGCAACAACGGAGCCAUGCCGCUCGGUGGCGAGCACGUUCCGAUGCUGUCAAUCUGGCUGGGAAGGCCGCGGCCGCGGCAACUGGCCGGCCGUCGAGUUGCGUCGGGCCCGUGUUGUCACAAGGCCGGCCACGGUUCGGUGGAAGGCGGGCUGUAGUUUGCUGGUCACACACGCUGGCUCGCUGGGCAGCGACGCAACACGACCUCGACGGCGGCCAGGAUGCCGAGAGGGAGGCGGAAGGUGGGGUGGGAGGGGGCGUCGCGUUGCGCUGGACCCAGAGCACGCCGGGAGGAUUAGGGAGGUGCAGGAGUCACCGGCGGUCGGGUUCGCGAGAAUUCAGGAUGGUUCGGAUCGACGAUGAAGCGGGUGAAAGACCUGCACAGACCCGCACCAAACUUCAUUGACGGACCAGAUUGGCUGAUAGCUCGAUCCGACGGUUAACGAGUUCUCGGGUGACGUGGCAAGCUGGUUUGCCGGCUUUUGGUGCAGGAUUCGUAUAUGGAGAUGACAUCAUGCCAAUGCGAAGCAAUGGGAGGCAAAGUGGUUGAUGCUGACAACUAGCCAAUGCGGAACUCUGGCAAGUGACUGGGUUAGUAGGAGGAUGGCAAAAAUAGAGGUGGUCAUGGGGAGGCGAAAGUAGAGAGAGUAUAAAAGAGAGAUUGUUGCACCGAUUUGUACUUUUAUUCUAUUAUAUCAUGUAUCUAACUAUUUGCUUGGGUACUUUAGAAUACGAACAUGGUGCAUGAAUAUUUUUCACAUCAAAGAAUAUGUCUUUAUUGUUGUAUGUACAAAUAUUUCAUAUGAUGAAAAUUGAUGCUCCUUUU
Molecule: RNA transcript, 7865 nt
Organism: Panicum virgatum (switchgrass)
Lineage: Eukaryota; Viridiplantae; Streptophyta; Magnoliopsida; Poales; Poaceae
Exons: 6
Source: RefSeq, a predicted model, not a curated record